RNAcentral lists this ribosomal RNA (397 nucleotides) under uncultured bacterium. RNAcentral describes it as "bacterial SSU rRNA". It matches the Rfam family "Bacterial small subunit ribosomal RNA", at positions 29 to 420 of the family's 1533-position model. The record is from RNAcentral.
AGUGAACGCUGGCGGCAGGCCUAACACAUGCAAGUCGAACGGCAGCACAGCAGUAGCAAUACUGUGGGUGGCGAGUGGCGGACGGGUGAGGAAUACAUCGGAAUCUGCCUAGUCGUGGGGGAUAACGUAGGGAAACUUACGCUAAUACCGCAUACGACCUACGGGUGAAAGCGGGGGAUCGCAAGACCUCGCGCGAUUAGAUGAGCCGAUGGCAGAUUAGGUAGUUGGUGGGGUAAAGGCUCACCAAGCCGACGAUCUGUAGCUGGUCUGAGAGGACGACCAGCCACACUGGGACUGAGACACGGCCCAGACUCCUACGGGAGGCAGCAGUGGGGAAUUUUGGGACAAUGGGCGCAAGCCUGAUCCAGCCAUUCCGCGUGAGUGAAGAAGGCCUCGG